CCCUCCCCUUCCCCUCCCCCUCCCCCUCUCCCUCUCCUAGGAAACCCAGUUUACUUCCCAUUCCUACUCCCAGAAAUUGGAGGUGGACAGGAACAUCAACGAACACACUUACAUUUCAGGAUCCGUAAAAAUGAGAUAUACGUGUAACCUAAUGGCAGAUAACGCCACAGCAAAGCCGUCAUGGCGGAGGGCUUGGUUGAGCAAAGCUGCUCACUUCACAGCAGCCAGAGAACAGAACAAGAGCAAGAGACAGCGCAAAGGUCCACUUCAGAGGUGCGUGCCCAUCACCUACUGCCGCUGCGUAGGCCCCGCCUCCUAACAGCAC
This is a long non-coding RNA of Heterocephalus glaber (naked mole-rat), 325 nucleotides long. The record is from Ensembl. NCBI's taxonomy places the organism in Eukaryota, Metazoa, Chordata, Mammalia, Rodentia, Bathyergidae.